CCUACGGGUAGCAGCAGUGGGGAAUAUUGCGCAAUGGGCGCAAGCCUGACCCAGCAACGCCGCGUGAAGGAAGAAGGCUUUCGGGUCGUAAACCUCUUUUCUCAGGGACGAAGCAAGUGACGGUACCCGAGGAAUAAGCCACGGCUAACUACCUGCCAGCAGCCGCGGUAAUACGUAGGUGGCAAGCGUUAUCCGGAUUUACUGGGUGGAAAGGGCGUGUAGGCGGGAAAGCAAGUCAGAUGUGAAAACCAUGGGCUCAACCUGUGGCCUGCAUUUGAAACUGUUUUUCUUGAGUACUGGAGAGGCAGACGGAAUUCCUAGUGUAGCGGUGAAAUGCGUAGGUAAUAGGAGGAACACCAGUGGCGAAGGCGGUCUGCUGGACAGCAACUGACGCUGAGGCGCGAAAGCGUGGGGAGCAAACAGGAUUAGAUACCCCAGUAGUC
RNAcentral lists this ribosomal RNA (443 nucleotides) under uncultured bacterium. RNAcentral's name for it is "partial 16S ribosomal RNA". It matches the Rfam family "Bacterial small subunit ribosomal RNA", at positions 338 to 795 of the family's 1533-position model. The record is from RNAcentral.